UACGUAGGGUGCAGGCGUUAAUCGGAAUUACUGGGCGUAAAGCGUGCGCAGGCGGUCUCUUAAGACAGGUGUGAAAUCCCCGGGCUCAACCUGGGAACUGCAUUUGUGACUGCAUAGCUAGAGUACGGUAGAGGGGGAUGGAAUUCCGCGUGUAGCAGUGAAAUGCGUAGAUAUGCGGAGGAACACCGAUGGCGAAGGCAAUCCCCUGGACCUGUACUGACGCUCAUGCACGAAAGCGUGGGGAGCAAACAGG
This 253-nucleotide ribosomal RNA is filed under the name uncultured bacterium. RNAcentral's name for it is "partial 16S ribosomal RNA". It matches the Rfam family "Bacterial small subunit ribosomal RNA", at positions 524 to 776 of the family's 1533-position model. The record is from RNAcentral.